CACUCUCUUUAUACACCUACCCUUGCAUUAAGCCUACUGCCCUAUUAUAAAGCUCUUUCACAACGAGUCUUCCCUGAAUGUCUCGUCCGCUUACGUACUCCCACAAUAUUUGCCACACCUACUUGUGUUUACCCUAUUAUAUUAGCUAUAUUUACGUUCUUGCGAAUAUACAAUGUAAUUGUACUCAGUAAGGCUUUUUACGCCUAUUACCUAGUGGAUUGGUGGACUCAUGGCCACCCGCGGUUUUUAUCCCUUUCGGGUUUUCCGCGUCACCAUCUCUUGUCUUGUCUCUCUUUAUUUCCGCCCUUUAUUUCAUGUCAUUUACAUACUUUAUUUUAUCUAGUCGUCUAUGUCCCAACCAAAGGUCGUCCAUACGAAAUUUGGCAUAAACAGUUUGGCGCCGUCUGUGGGGAGAUGGCUAGAUUUAUCUUCAAACACAUAUCCACAAAUAUCCUCUCAAACACAAUAUCCGACCCACUUGGGUUCACCAAUAAAGUUGUCGCCAGGCUAUGGAUUGUUGUCAUACUUUGUCGCCACCAUGAGAUGGAGCUACGUCAGGGUGCAUGUCGUCGCCAGAUCAGGUGUCGACAUCAGCAGGUGUCAUCGCUAGAAGUGACGCGUCUGAGUGGUCGAAUUCAACCUAGAUGAUGCAUAUCGUGACAACAACGACACCAACGCUUGAUGACAUCGAAAAUAGACGUCACGGACCAUCAUGCAGAUGUCACCACAAACAAGAUACAAUAUGAGUUGUCUCGUACCUUGAUAAGAUCUCGAGACGAUUUGACACUUGACGUCGCGAGAAGUAUGGUAUAAAACUCAACCCCAGUGAUUUUAAUUUAAACUAAUAUUGUUUCUAGUCCUUGUUGUCACUAAAACAGAUGCGAACACGUGACGUCAUCCACCAAUGACAUGACGUCAACAUAGUUUCAUCCGACGUGACCUCCACAUCAGUCGACGACGUCUCCAAAAACGAAGGCGACAAAUGGAGAUUCAACAACAAAUUGUCGGCAAUACUAGAUUUUGUGGCUAACUUCAGUCCAAGUAUCAAAUAGGAGAAUUUGUAGUUGUCCUGAAGUCGCCACAGGGGAGCAUAUAGUAUACUCUAUCUCAUUUAAUUUUCAUAUAGUAUACUUGAUUUGCUUUUUAUAUAGUAUACUUUGCUUGUUUUAAUUUCCAAAAGCACUUUGAAAUAUAUGCUAUACGUUGUUAUCCUACCUUUUGUACUAACAUCGUCACCACUUGUCGUUUGAUCAUGUCGUGUCGCCAAGUAUUGUCUUGUCUACAGGUAUUGACGUGUCGCUUGGCUAGGUCAUGAGUACAUCAGGGGACCGACGUUAGAAUGCAGGUGACAAGGUACUGUCUUGUCUAUAGGUACUGACGUGUCGCUUGGCAAGGUCGUGAGUAAAGCAGGCGACCAACGUUAGAAGUGUUACACGAGGUCACGACACGACAUGAGGUCACGACGAUACAACAUGACGCCACGACAGCAGGACGCGACCAUUCUGGUUACCCCUAUGACGACAAGAAGUUUCUCGGCGUUAAACAUGGUACGUAGAAGUGAUUAUCGAACAUCUUUAUUUUAACAAUAUAUUUCUUCGUAAGUUCGCCAACAGAUCGUUGAUUGAUACAUGAAUAUCAAUGGGGGCUAAAGGUACGAACAUACUUUCGAAGUGAGUUAUCUUUUAUUUAUAAUAUACACGUAUUGUCGCUGCCACGUACAUCGCAGAUCGUGAGGGUCAUCAACACAAUCGAAUGGUAUGAGUGACUCAAUUCAUUUAUUAGUGACGUCAAAAUUUUAUAAACUAACACCUCAUAUCCUAUUGAAAUUUUCUCAUAUAUCAUCCGUGAUAACUAUUUUUCAUUUACUAACGACAUGCCGCGACUAUACGCGUUAGUAUGUAUAUUAAUGACAACAGAUUACCUUGAUCAUGACGGUAUGCCCCGACGCCACGAGAUGGCAAUGACCGAUGACACGACGCCACCAGACUACCGAGAAAGCUAAGGAAAUCGGAAUGUCGAAUAAUCAUCAUCAAUGAUCAUGAUGACACAUGAGUAACUUCUAAACUAUUUUUCACACACUUUCUCAUUUCAAUUCAUUCAUUGUUGUUCUCUUGUAUUAAUAUGUCUCGUAUUCAACGCUCAUCAAGUUAACUAAUAAAUUUUUGCAUCGCACCAUGAAUGUCUCAAUUUUUCUAAUGACUAAACCAUUUUAUCAAAUCGUUUUGAGGUAAUUUGACUUGACACAUGAGACGUUUAGAGGUUGCAUCAUGCUGGCACGCAUGUACGAAGUCAAAUAUAAACGAACGUCAUCAUAUCUGUGGCCGACUUCAGUCAUGAUAUCUUCCUAAAGCCGCCACAGGGGGGCAAGAUAGUACAUACUCCCGUUCAGUUUAAUAUACUUGUUACAACUUUGAAGUUUAACUGACGAUGUGAUACAAUUUAUUUUCAUGAUGAUCUUGUCGUAAGAUUUUGGUAACAGGUACGAUGCUAAGACAAAUGUACGAACACUGGGGGCUCAACCACUAUCACAUGUCGAAAUAGGCGGAUAAAGAAAAUUCAUUGGGUUUCCCAAAGACGACAAGUGAUAAGACGUCAACCGAUUAACAAGAAAGGUAAUUUAUAAAGAGUUCACAUGUAUUUGAAUUUACGACAUAUUGUAAUGUAAGUUUGUCAAAUGAUUUUACCAAAGACGUUAAGAAAAAGUCCACUUCUUAAGACAGUAUAAGGAAUUCACAUUAACCAUAUGUUCUUUCUUGUGCCACAUUGCGAGGAUCAACCAAUAAGUCGACCAACGUUGGAAUGGACAAUGUCAAGACCAGCGAUGCGUCAUCAUUCAACAUGACGGUACGACGCCAGAUGUGACGACGAUGGUACAAGCGAUGGCAAUGAUCUCAGGAACGAAAACAAGAUCGGCCACGAGAGGUGUCACGACAUCAGGACAAUGCUGUUGAUUGUAGAAUCGUCAUCAAGGGACAGUCAACGACUCGACGUAAUUUCGUUACAUGAGCCCAUAUUAAGUAAUAUCUAACACUUACUUCGUGCGUUAAUUAAUUUAUUACAUUUUUUACUACACUGCGAUUAAAGUUCAAUUUCAGUUUUUGUUAUUUGUCGCA
Molecule: long non-coding RNA, 3113 nt
Organism: Spinacia oleracea (spinach)
Lineage: Eukaryota; Viridiplantae; Streptophyta; Magnoliopsida; Caryophyllales; Amaranthaceae
Exons: 2
Source: RefSeq, a predicted model, not a curated record